This 99-nucleotide transfer RNA is filed under the name Lasiosphaeris hirsuta. It matches the Rfam family "tRNA". Rfam says of the family: Transfer RNA (tRNA) molecules are approximately 80 nucleotides in length. Their secondary structure includes four short double-helical elements and three loops (D, anti-codon, and T loops). The record is from Rfam by way of RNAcentral. Lineage: Eukaryota; Fungi; Ascomycota; Sordariomycetes; Sordariales; Lasiosphaeriaceae.
GCCAUGUUGGCUCAGUUGGUAGAGCGUUGGUCUCAUAACAUGAUCUGGUUAAACAUCAGGGACAUCCAAAGGUCGUGAGUUCGAGCCUCACACGUGGCA